AUGCCUUCUUUGAAAGUACAGCUCAGGGAAUUUGAUACUUUAAGGCCAUCAACUAAUCUUCUGAACAGGAGGUAUGCAAAGGAGGGACAGAGUCAAGACAUCAGAGAAAGUACACAGAUCCAUCUUGAUCUCUACUAAAUUACUCUCCUGCUAUAACAUUAAAAAUGAAUUCUGAAACAGCAUAACUCACAAAAGGGUGGGGUGAAAUAAAACUUUAGUAAAAAAGAAAACA
This 232-nucleotide long non-coding RNA is filed under the name Monodelphis domestica (gray short-tailed opossum). Its description in RNAcentral is "lncRNA (ENSMODG00000031087.2)". The record is from RNAcentral. Lineage: Eukaryota; Metazoa; Chordata; Mammalia; Didelphimorphia; Didelphidae.